RNAcentral lists this ribosomal RNA (221 nucleotides) under uncultured bacterium. Its description in RNAcentral is "partial 16S ribosomal RNA". It matches the Rfam family "Bacterial small subunit ribosomal RNA", at positions 524 to 743 of the family's 1533-position model. The record is from RNAcentral.
UACGUAGGGUGCAAGCGUUAAUCGGAAUUACUGGGCGUAAAGCGUGCGCAGGCGGCUUUGCAAGACAGAUGUGAAAGCCCCGGGCUCAACCUGGGAACUGCAUUUGAGACUGCUCUGCUCGGGUGCGGAAGAGGGAAGCGGAAUUUCCGGUGUAGCGGUGAAAUGCGUAGAUAUCGGAAGGAACACCAGUGGCGAAAAGCGGCUUCCUGGUCCGACACCGA